RNAcentral lists this ribosomal RNA (1238 nucleotides) under Salmonella enterica subsp. enterica serovar Enteritidis. RNAcentral describes it as "partial 23S ribosomal RNA". It matches the Rfam family "Bacterial large subunit ribosomal RNA", at positions 89 to 1230 of the family's 2925-position model. Lineage: Bacteria; Pseudomonadati; Pseudomonadota; Gammaproteobacteria; Enterobacterales; Enterobacteriaceae. The record is from RNAcentral.
UAUGAACCGUUAUAACCGGCGAUACCCGAAUGGGGAAACCCAGUGUGACUCGUCACACUAUCAUUAACUGAAUCCAUAGGUUAAUGAGGCGAACCGGGGGAACUGAAACAUCUAAGUACCCCGAGGAAAAGAAAUCAACCGAGAUUCCCCCAGUAGCGGCGAGCGAACGGGGAGGAGCCCAGAGCCUGAAUCAGCAUGUGUGUUAGUGGAAGCGUCUGGAAAGGCGCGCGAUACAGGGUGACAGCCCCGUACACAAAAGCGCAUGUGCUGUGAGCUCGAUGAGUAGGGCGGGACACGUGGUAUCCUGUCUGAAUAUGGGGGGACCAUCCUCCAAGGCUAAAUACUCCUGACUGACCGAUAGUGAACCAGUACCGUGAGGGAAAGGCGAAAAGAACCCCGGCGAGGGGAGUGAAAAAGAACCUGAAACCGUGUACGUACAAGCAGUGGGAGCCCCACCACCAAAGCAUUUGCUGUACCGCGUUGACGGAGCGAAGCGACGUCAAACCGAUAAAACAGCAGUGUAAAGUGAGCCGCAGGGCGCUUUGCGCGACAGCGCAAAGGCAGGCGGUUUCGCGUAGCGAAAGCGAAUGCUUUGGGGUGGGGUGACUGCGUACCUUUUGUAUAAUGGGUCAGCGACUUAUAUUCUGUAGCAAGGUUAACCGAAUAGGGGAGCCGGAGGGAAACCGAGUCUUAAUUGGGCGUUAAGUUGCAGGGUAUAGACCCGAAACCCGGUGAUCUAGCCAUGGGCAGGUUGAAGGUUGGGUAACACUAACUGGAGGACCGAACCGACUAAUGUUGAAAAAUUAGCGGAUGACCUGUGGCUGGGGGUGAAAGGCCAAUCAAACCGGGAGAUAGCUGGUUCUCCCCGAAAGCUAUUUAGGUAGCGCCUCGUGAAUUCAUCUCCGGGGGUAGAGCACUGUUUCGGCUAGGGGGCCAUCCCGGCUUACCAACCCGAUGCAAACUGCGAAUACCGGAGAAUGUUAUCACGGGAGACACACGGCGGGUGCUAACGUCCGUCGUGAAGAGGGAAACAACCCAGACCGCCAGCUAAGGUCCCAAAGUCAUGGUUAAGUGGGAAACGAUGUGGGAAGGCCCAGACAGCCAGGAUGUUGGCUUAGAAGCAGCCAUCAUUUAAAGAAAGCGUAAUAGCUCACUGGUCGAGUCGGCCUGCGCGGAAGAUGUAACGGGGCUAAACCAUGCACCGAAGCUGCGGCAGCGACACUGUGUGUUGUUGGGUA